Molecule: RNA transcript, 4244 nt
Organism: Gastrolobium bilobum
Lineage: Eukaryota; Viridiplantae; Streptophyta; Magnoliopsida; Fabales; Fabaceae
Exons: 23
Source: RefSeq, a predicted model, not a curated record
GAUAUUUGGCGGGUACUAACCGCGGUGGCGGUUUUGGUUUCGGAAAAUCUGAUCGCAACAGAAUCAGAAUUGGGAAGAAAGAAACUAGUUUGUUGCAAAAGCGGGAACUUGAAUUCUCACUGCAAUGGGCAUCAUUCAGCAACUUUCAAUUUCUCACCUUAGUUAGUAGUUAACAGACAUGAUUCAGUACCUAUUAUUCGCAUUAGGGUUUCUGCUUUCUGCAACAAUCCCCUUUUCUCGCGGGGAAUCAUCUACCUGCUUGACGGUCUACAAGAACGGCGGUGCUCCGGCCGUGUUCCAAUCCCCAAAAUGCCCUCGCUGGAAGCUCACCGAUUACGAUUCUCCUCCCCAAACCACCGCGCGUUGUCAGUCCGCGAUGCUCCAGGGCCGUAGAAAUUCCCAAGAGGAUCGCACUCUCUGCGUCCUUGAUGUUCGAAUUCCCUUCCCUGAUGCGUUCGGGAUCAAGGAGGUUGCGGUUGGGAUUGUGGCUGUUUUCGAUGGUCAUAACGGUGCAGAAGCUAGUGAGAUGGCGUCAAAACUUUUGGUGGAGUAUUUCGUUUUGCAUACUUAUUUUCUUCUUGAUGCCGCGUAUUCUGUUAUAUCCAAGGCGUCUACAGGAACAUUGCUUCACAAGAGAGAUCGUGAUCGUGUAAACCUACUGCAUAGAUGGAAAGAAAUUCUUGGUUGGCAAUGGCAUGAAAAGGAUUUCGAAAGGUUUCAGAAUACAUUUUCUGCAAAUUUUGAUGAUUCUUUGCACUUGGAAAUUUUGAAGGAAGCAUUGUUGAGAGCAAUUCAUGAUAUUGAUGCAAAAUUUUCUGAGGAAGCCAACAAAAAUAGUCUUCAUUCAGGAUCUACGGCAACCAUUGUAUUGGUUGCAGAUGAUAAAAUUUUGGUUGCCAAUAUUGGAGACUCUAAGGCCUUCUUAUGUUCUGAAAAAUUUCAGUCUCCUAGAGAGGCUAAAGCCUCAUUAUUAAAGCUAUAUAGGCAGAAAGAGCAUGAUGGUUCUGUUUCCGUAUGGGAUCGUGAAAAGUACAGAUUGGCUUCCUCUCAUGGACUCACUCAUUUUGCAGUAAAGGAAUUGACCAGUGAUCAUCAUCCAGACAGAGAUGAUGAAAGAAUUAGGGUGGAAACAGCUGGUGGUCAAGUUCUAAAUUGGGGUGGUGUGCCUCGCAUAAAUGGUCAGCUGGCUAUUACACGGGCUAUUGGUGAUGUAUUCUUUAAAAGUUAUGGUGUUAUAUCUGCACCAGAAGUGACUGAUUGGCAGCCUCUGACUGCCAAUGAUAGCUAUUUGGUGGCUGCAUCUGAUGGUGUAUUUGAGAAAAUGAACAUGCAGGAUGUCUGUGACUUGUUGUGGGAAGUACACUGUUUCAGUAACAUGAGAUCAGAGUGUACCUGUUCAUCUUCCUAUUCAUUGGCAGAUUUUAUUGUUAACACUUCCUUCACAAAGGGCAGUAUGGACAAUGUGGCAGCAGUUGUUGUUCCUCUGGAAUCUUCCAAAUCUUCUGUAAACACGCUUAGGAGAGGCUAUGUUGAAAAUAGGGAUGCAGGCUUCCCAUUAUUUGGUCCACAGGAACCUGCUUCCAGAAGCUCAGCUAAAGACAUCACAUCUGUUCUAAUGCAUUUGGAGCAUCCUCAUCUGGUAGAUACCAAGUUUAAGCGAAUAUUGGUUGAAGUGAAACAUGGUGAUUUUGGAUGUUUUUAUUUAUCUGAAAAUCUUGAUGAACCAGUGGACUCUAAGCAGCCUGCUAAAAAAACUGACUGGGAAGACUAUCUGUAUGAACUACCUCAGCCUCUACCAGACGCCCUUCAUCAACAUGUUGCAGUAGGUGGUCCUGUAAAUUUGUACAAUGAACAUAACUUUUGCUUUAACCUUGGUCCGAUUGUCAAUGAAGCCAAAGACCAAUGCAUAAAUCCUGAAGGCUUUGCUAGUUUUAUGGGUCUUCUUGAAUCGAUUCCUUUACAUGAUACUGGUUCAAAUAAUGGGUCUUCUGAUUAUUCAUUUCCUGAUUUGAGGUAUGUGUUAAAGAAGAGUUUUGGUCGUGGAUCAUAUGGUGAAGUAUGGUUAGCUUUCCAUUGGAAUUGUAAUCAAGGAAGUAAUGCCACAAACAUGAGCAAGGAUGACAAUGUUAGAAACAGCAGCUCAACUACUCCCGAUUGUCAGGAUGGUCCUUCUAACUACACAUUGUACAUUUUGAAACGUAUAAUGGUAGAGAGAGGGUCUGCUGUUUACUUAAGCGGGCUGAGGGAGAAGUAUUUUGGAGAAAUUUUCUUAAACGCCUCUAUAUGUGUUGAAGAUCUGCUAUCAGCUGCAAAAUCAAACUGUGUCUUGGAAACUUCACAAUUUGGUUCAUUUCCAAACAAAUUUAGGCUGCAAAGAGCCAUGUAUGAAGAAGGUUUGAACCAUAUUGCAAGAUAUGUGGAGUCUUUUGAGUCUCGAUCCAAUGAAAUAUGGCUUGUAUUCAGUUAUGAAGGCAUGUCAUUGUCUAAACUUUUAUAUACUGUGGAAGAUGCAUAUGAUACUGCUGAGAAAGAAAGAUUUGAGCAAGUAAAACAUGCUCAGAUACUACGUCCAUCAAAGUGGUGGCAUUGGUUGAAAACUACAGAAGAAGGGCAAGAGGAAAUGCGCAACCUUCUCUGGCAGUUGUUAUUGGCUCUCAAGUCCUGUCACGAUCGCAAUAUCACACACAGGGACAUUAAACCUGAGAACAUGGUGAUAUGCUUUGAAGAUCAGGAGACGGGGAGAUGCUUGAAAGAGAUUCCAGCUAAAAUCAAUAAAUUUUCCACCAAAAUGCGUAUUAUCGAUUUUGGAAGUGGAAUUGAUGAAUUCACAUUAAAGCAUUUAUAUGGUUCUGCUGGGCCUUCUAGAGCUGAACAAACUUAUGAAUAUACACCUCCUGAAGCUCUGCUAAAUGCUAAGUGGUAUCAAGGACCAACAAGCUCAACCUUGAAAUAUGACAUGUGGAGCGUUGGUAUUGUAAUGUUAGAGUUGGUCUUAGGGACACCAAAUGUUUUCCAGAUAAAUGCUUUAACACGUGCUCUUUUGGACCGGCAUCUUGAGGGCUGGAAUGACGGUGUGAAGCAGCUGGCAUACAAACUUAGAUCAUUCAUGGAAUUGUGCAUCUUAAUCCCUGGGAUUUCCGGCAGUUCCUCAAAAAAGUAUCACACAGUGAACCAAGUUGGAGUUUCGCCUGCAUCCUGGAAAUGCUCUGAAGAAUUCUUUUCUCGUCAAAUUAAGAAUCGAGAUCCUCUGAAAAUAGGUUUUUCAAACAUCUGGGCUUUACGGUUAGUGCGCCAUCUGUUACUCUGGGACCCAGAGGAUCGUCCAAGUGUUGAUGAGGCACUGCAGCAUCCCUAUUUCCAACCUCCCCCAAGAGGAUGAUUUUAUAGGAAACAACCAGCUGUUUCUUACACGUCGAGUUAUUCAUUCUCAGGGACAUACAAAAAAGUUGAAAUUUAACAGGUAGCAUCAAGUCAUCAACAGCAUCGUCUGUAAUUCGCAUGAAAGCUGGACCCAAGCAAGAGAUGUUGACACCUUAAAAAAAGGACCUGAAUCUCAUGAAAGGUUCAUCAUAAGGAAACUGGUGUAUAGAUAAAUUGAUACUGCCUCUGCGUAGAGCUUCGUUUACUACACAUGCGGCCAAAGACGGUAAGGAUGAGCACAGAUGGGGAUACCAUAUCAGGCAACAGAAGUCUUCAAUUGUCACUUUCAAAAAUUCCAUCGGAUGAAAGGACCAAUGACUUGUAGUUAUUGUAAUAUAUAUAGUGCAUGUGCAACCGAGCAUGCAUUUUUUUUUUUUAGUAGAUAACCGUGCAUGCAUUUAGGUAAAGAAAGGGAAAGAUGGCUUGGCGAAAAAUCCAACAUCAAUCGGAUACUAGGUGUUACAAGGAUAUGAGUAUGGGCAUCGUUCUUACCGCAAGGCCUUCUACUCUCUGCCAUGUUUCCCCACGCCUAUCAUCCAGGCUUGCCAUCUCAAUAGUUCGUUUGGUGAUAAUGAAAUUAUACUAUUUUACGCAAUAACUCGGAGGAUUGCAAGAUUACAAGAGCGAAAAUAUACUCCAAGGGGCCAGUGAGAAUGGAAGCUGAAUCAGAAUCCAAUUUUCUUCUAGUGGCAAAAAAAAAUGACUGCUGAUGGGUGCAUAAAUGCCGGUCCCUCUUCACUCUUCAUAGUGUAGCUUUCAGUGCCUAUGUGUUUUCAAUGCCAGAGAAGGUUAUAAGUUUUGAACGUGUGUUUCCAUGUUGCAAA